RNAcentral lists this ribosomal RNA (253 nucleotides) under uncultured bacterium. RNAcentral's name for it is "partial 16S ribosomal RNA". It matches the Rfam family "Bacterial small subunit ribosomal RNA", at positions 524 to 776 of the family's 1533-position model. The record is from RNAcentral.
UACGGGGGGGGCAAGCGUUGUUCGGAAUUACUGGGCGUAAAGGGCUCGUAGGUGGCCAACUAAGUCAGACGUGAAAUCCCUCGGCUUAACCGGGGAACUGCGUCUGAUACUGGAUGGCUUGAGUUCGGGAGAGGGAUGCGGAAUUUCAGGUGUAGCGGUGAAAUGCGUAGAUAUCGGGAGGAACACCUGUGGCGAAAGCGGCGCACUGGACCACUUCUGACGCUGAGGCGCGAAAGCUAGGGGAGCAAACAGG